Molecule: ribosomal RNA, 448 nt
Filed under: uncultured bacterium
Lineage: Bacteria
Description: bacterial SSU rRNA
Rfam family: Bacterial small subunit ribosomal RNA
Source: RNAcentral
CCCCAGACUCCUACGGGAGGCAGCAGUGGGGAAUAUUGCACAAUGGGGGAAACCCUGAUGCAGCGACGCCGCGUGAGUGAAGAAGUAUUUCGGUAUGUAAAGCUCUAUCAGCAGGGAAGAAAAUGACGGUACCUGACUAAGAAGCCCCGGCUAACUACGUGCCAGCAGCCGCGGUAAUACGUAGGGGGCAAGCGUUAUCCGGAUUUACUGGGUGUAAAGGGAGCGUAGACGGCAUGGCAAGUCAGAUGUGAAAGCCCGGGGCUCAACCCCGGGACUGCAUUUGAAACUGUCAGGCUGGAGUGCAGGAGAGGUAAGUGGAAUUCCUAGUGUAGCGGUGAAAUGCGUAGAUAUUAGGAGGAACACCAGUGGCGAAGGCGGCUUACUGGACUGUAACUGACGUUGAGGCUCGAAAGCGUGGGGAGCAAACAGGAUUAGAUACCCGUGUAUG